RNAcentral lists this ribosomal RNA (495 nucleotides) under uncultured bacterium. RNAcentral's name for it is "partial 16S ribosomal RNA". It matches the Rfam family "Bacterial small subunit ribosomal RNA", at positions 28 to 507 of the family's 1533-position model. The record is from RNAcentral.
GACGAACGCUGGCGGCGUGCCUAAUACAUGCAAGUCGAACGCUGAAGGAGGAGCUUGCUUCUCUGGAUGAGUUGCGAACGGGUGAGUAACGCGUAGGUAACCUGCCUGGUAGCGGGGGAUAACUAUUGGAAACGAUAGCUAAUACCGCAUAAGAGUAGAUGUUGCAUGACAUUUGCUUAAAAGGUGCAAUUGCAUCACUACCAGAUGGACCUGCGUUGUAUUAGUUAGUUGGUGGGGUAACGGCUCACCAAGGCGACGAUACAUAGCCGACCUGAGAGGGGGAUCGGCCACACUGGGACUGAGACACGGCCCAGACUCCUACGGGAGGCAGCAGUAGGGAAUCUUCGGCAAUGGACGGAAGUCUGACCGAGCAACGCCGCGUGAGUGAAGAAGGGUUUCGGAUCGUAAAGCUCUGUUGUAAGAGAAGAACGAGUGUGAGAGUGGAAAGUUCACACUGUGACGGUAGCUUACCAGAAAGGGACGGCUAACUACGUG